UACGGAGGGUGCGAGCGUUGUCCGGAAUCACUGGGCGUAAAGGGUGCGUAGGCGGUCGGGUAAGUCUGACGUGAAAUCUUCAAGCUCAACUUGGAAACUGCGUCGGAUACUAUUCGGCUAGAGGAAUGGAGGGGAGACUGGAAUACUUGGUGUAGCAGUGAAAUGCGUAGAUAUCAAGUGGAACACCAGUGGCGAAGGCGAGUCUCUGGACAUUUCCUGACGCUGAGGCACGAAAGCCAGGGGAGCAAACGGG
This 253-nucleotide ribosomal RNA is filed under the name uncultured bacterium. Its description in RNAcentral is "partial 16S ribosomal RNA". It matches the Rfam family "Bacterial small subunit ribosomal RNA", at positions 524 to 776 of the family's 1533-position model. The record is from RNAcentral.